RNAcentral lists this ribosomal RNA (1176 nucleotides) under metagenome. Its description in RNAcentral is "bacterial SSU rRNA". It matches the Rfam family "Bacterial small subunit ribosomal RNA", at positions 328 to 1520 of the family's 1533-position model. The record is from RNAcentral.
GGUCCAAACUCCUACGGGAGGCAGCAGUGGGAAUAUUGGGCAAUGGGGGAAACCCUGACCCAGCAACGCCGCGUGAAGGAAGAAGGUCUUCGGAUCGUAAACUUCUAUCCUCGGUGAAGAGGAGAAGACGGUAGCCGAGAAGGAAGCCCCGGCUAACUACGUGCCAGCAGCCGCGGUAAUACGUAGGGGGCAAGCGUUGUCCGGAAUGAUUGGGCGUAAAGGGCGUGUAGGCGGCUAAGUAAGUCUGGAGUGAAAGUCCUGCUUUUAAGGUGGGAAUUGCUUUGGAUACUGCAUAGCUAGAGUGCAGGAGAGGUAAGUGGAAUUCCCAGUGUAGCGGUGAAAUGCGUAGAGAUUGGGAGGAACACCAGUGGCGAAGGCGACUUACUGGACUGUAACUGACGCUGAGGCGCGAAAGUGUGGGGAGCAAACAGGAUUAGAUACCCUGGUAGUCCACACUGUAAACGAUGAAUGCUAGGUGUAGGUGGUAUCGACCCCAUCUGUGCCGGAGUAAACACAAUAAGCAUUCCGCCUGGGGAGUACGGCCGCAAGGUUGAAACUCAAAGGAAUUGACGGGGGCCCGCACAAGCAGCGGAGCAUGUGGUUUAAUUCGAAGCAACGCGAAGAACCUUACCAGGUCUUGACAUCCAGUAAAGCCUGCAGAGAUGCAGGGUGUCUUCGGACAUACUGAGACAGGUGGUGCAUGGUUGUCGUCAGCUCGUGUCGUGAGAUGUUGGGUUAAGUCCCGCAACGAGCGCAACCCUUAUGAUUAGUUACUAACGGGUAAAGCCGAGGACUCUAAUGAGACUGCCGGGGACAACUCGGAGGAAGGUGGGGACGACGUCAAAUCAUCAUGCCCCUUAUGACCUGGGCUACACACGUGCUACAAUGGCCACUACAAAGAGGAGCGAGCCCGUAAGGGGGAGCGGAUCUCAAAAAAGUGGUCCCAGUUCGGAUUGUGGGCUGCAACCCGCCCACAUGAAGUCGGAGUUGCUAGUAAUCGCGGAUCAGCAUGCCGCGGUGAAUACGUUCCCGGGCCCUGUACACACCGCCCGUCACACCAUGGGAGUUGGGAGUGCCCAAAGUCGGCGAGGUAACCGCAAGGAGCCAGCCGCCUAAGGCAAGACCAAUGACUGGGGUGAAGUCGUAACAAGGUAGCCGUAUCGGAAGGUGCGGCUG